Long non-coding RNA from Fukomys damarensis (Damara mole-rat), 746 nucleotides. RefSeq lists it as uncharacterized. Lineage: Eukaryota; Metazoa; Chordata; Mammalia; Rodentia; Bathyergidae. The record is from RefSeq and is a predicted model, not a curated record. The transcript is spliced from 3 exons.
UUGAUGGGCAGGAUCAUUUCUGUGACAGCCCAAACUAUCCUUCCUCCUGGGAGGUCCACGUCUGACCAAGAAGAGAAAAAAAUGCUUGAUCCGUCAAAUUCUGGAAGCACAGGCCCUUCCCAGGGUACACAAGCUUCUUCAUUCUGCAGGUCGGCAGGAUACUCUGACGUGUACAUGGCUGUAGAGGGAAGGAAAAGCCCACCCAUUGAACUGAAAUUCAGGACCUUUCAAAGCAUUGCCUGAACACUAAAAAACAAUAUUUUGGCUCCCCCUGGCUACUCACCAAAGUUCAUCGCCCUCCAAUCCACCUCUGAUUGGAAUGAUGCUGAUUUGAAAGAAGGAUCAGUCUAUGCCCCACCUAGAAUAACAUCCAGCUGAAGGCUCUCAUUGUCACCCUUUUCCCCAGCUCAGAGAAAGCAUGUGUGGAAGUAGGCGGAAUGUGCGGACUGUGAGUGAAGCACAAUUCUGCUGGAGCCCAGAGGCCAAGGCCGGAUGAAGCAGGGCUCAGGGUGGUGCGCACUCUGCAUUUGCCAAGGGUGCCAAAGGCUGCCUCUCUCUGGGAAGGGGGAGACGUGAGCGAACUGGGUUUGAGUUGCCCGCCUACCUCAAGGCUGCCGACACACAGUGGAAAGAUGUUCCACAGAGACACAAAAUGACCUUCUCCCAAUCAAAUCAAGUUAAAGAAACAAAAAAACCUGAUCCUUGCCUCUUCCUUCUAAACCAAAGCAAAGCCUCAGAAAAUAAGC